Molecule: ribosomal RNA, 274 nt
Filed under: uncultured bacterium
Lineage: Bacteria
Description: partial 16S ribosomal RNA
Rfam family: Bacterial small subunit ribosomal RNA
Source: RNAcentral
AUACGAAGGGGGUUAGCGUUGUUCGGAAUUACUGGGCGUAAAGCGCACGUAGGCGGAUUGGAAAGUUGGGGGUGAAAUCCCAGGGCUCAACCCUGGAACUGCCUCCAAAACUAACAGUCUAGAGUUCGAGAGAGGUGAGUGGAAUUCCAAGUGUAGAGGUGAAAUUCGUAGAUAUUUGGAGGAACACCAGUGGCGAAGGCGGCUCACUGGCUCGAUACUGACGCUGAGGUGCGAAAGCGUGGGGAGCAAACAGGAUUAGAAACCCCAGUAGUCC